RNAcentral lists this ribosomal RNA (253 nucleotides) under uncultured bacterium. RNAcentral describes it as "partial 16S ribosomal RNA". It matches the Rfam family "Bacterial small subunit ribosomal RNA", at positions 524 to 776 of the family's 1533-position model. The record is from RNAcentral.
UACGGGGGGGGCAAGCGUUGUUCGGAAUUACUGGGCGUAAAGGGCUCGUAGGCGGCCAACUAAGUCGGACGUGAAAUCCCCAGGCUCAACUUGGGAACUGCGUCCGAUACUGGAUGGCUUGAAUCCGGGAGAGGGAUGCAGAAUUCCAGGUGUAGCGGUGAAAUGCGUAGAUAUCUGGAGGAAUACCGGUGGCGAAGGCGGCAUCCUGGACCGGCAUUGACGCUGAGGAGCGAAAGCCAGGGGAGCAAACGGG